Molecule: ribosomal RNA, 253 nt
Filed under: uncultured bacterium
Lineage: Bacteria
Description: partial 16S ribosomal RNA
Rfam family: Bacterial small subunit ribosomal RNA
Source: RNAcentral
UACGUAGGGUGCAAGCGUUGUCCGGAUUUAUUGGGCGUAAAGAGCUCGUAGGCGGUCUGUCGCGUCUGCUGUGAAAACUCGGGGCUUAACCCCGGGCCUGCAGUGGGUACGGGCAGACUAGAGUGCGGUAGGGGAGACUGGAAUUCCUGGUGUAGCGGUGAAAUGCGCAGAUAUCAGGAGGAACACCGGUGGCGAAGGCGGGUCUCUGGGCCGUAACUGACGCUGAGGAGCGAACGCAUGGGUAGCGAACAGG